CAUCAGCCUAACAUCAGCCUCAGCCUCAACAUCAGCUCAACAUCAGCCUCAGCCUCAACAUCAGCCUCAGCCUCAACAUCAGCCUCAACAUCAACAUCAGCCUCAACAUCAGCCUCAACAUCAGCCUCAACAUCAGCCUCAACAUCAAAAUCAGCCUCAACAUCAGCCUCAACAUCAGCCUCAACAUCAACAUCAGCCUCAACAUCAGCCUCAACAUCAGCCUCAACAUCAGCAUCAGCCUCAACAUCAGCCUCAACAUCAGCAUCAGCCUCAACAUCAGCCUCAACAUCAGCAUCAACCUCAACAUCAGCCUCAACAUCAGCCUCAACAUCAGCAUCAGCCUCAACAUCAGCCUCAACAUCAACAUCAGCCUCAACAUCAGCAUCAGCCUCAACAUCAACAUCAGCCUCAACAUCAGCCUCAACAUCAGCCUCAACAUCAGCAUCAGCCUCAACAUCAGCAUCAACAUCAUCAACAUCAGCCUCAACAUCAGCCUCAACAUCAACAUCAGCCUCAACAUCAGCAUCAGCCUCAACAUCAGCCUCAACAUCAACAUCAGCCUCAACAUCAGCAUCAGCCUCAACAUCAGCAUCAGCCUCAACAUCAACAUCAGCCUCAACAUCAGCAUCAGCCUCAACAUCAGCCUCAACAUCAGCCUCAACAUCAGCAUCAGCCUCAACAUCAGCCUCAACAUCAGCCUCAGCAUCAGCCUCAACAUCAGCAUCAACAUCACAUCAGCCUCAACAUCAGCAUCAGCCUCAACAUCAGCCUCAACAUCAGCCUCAACAUCAACAUCAGCCUCAACAUCAGCAUCAGCCUCAACAUCAGCAUCAGCCUCAACAUCAGCCUCAACAUCAGCCUCAACAUCAACAUCAGCCUCAACAUCAGCCUCAACAUCAGCAUCAGCCUCAACAUCAGCAUCAGCCUCAACAUCAGCAUCAGCCUCAACAUCAACAUCAACAUCAGCCUCAACAUCAGCAUCAGCCUCAACAUCAACAUCAGCCUCAACAUCAACAUCAGCCUACAAAUCAGCCUCAACAUCAGCAUCAGCCUCAACAUCAACAUCAGCCUCAACAUCAGCAUCAGCCUCAACAUCAGCAUCAACAUCAUCAACAUCAGCCUCAACAUCAGCCUCAGCCUCAACAUCAGCAUCAGCCUCAACAUCAGCCUCAACAUCAACAUCAGCCUCAACAUCAGCCUCAACAUCAGCAUCAGCCUCAACAUCAGCAUCAGCCUCAACAUCAACAUCAGCCUCAACAUCAGCAUCAGCCUCAACAUCAGCCUCAACAUCAGCCUCAACAUCAGCAUCAGCCUCAACAUCAGCCUCAACAUCAGCCUCAACAUCAGCAUCAGCCUCAACAUCAGCCUCAACAUCAACAUCAGCCUCAACAUCAGCAUCAGCCUCAACAUCAGCCUCAACAUCAGCCUCAACAUCAGCCUCAACAUCAGCAUCAGCCUCAACAUCAGCCUCAACAUCAACAUCAGCCUCAACAUCAGCCUCAACAUCAGCAUCAGCCUCAACAUCAGCAUCAGCCUCAACAUCAGCCUCAGCAUCAGCCUCAACAUCAGCCUCAACAUCAACAUCAGCCUCAACAUCAGCCUCAACAUCAGCAUCAGCCUCAACAUCAGCAUCAGCCUCAACAUCAGCCUCAACAUCAGCCUCAACAUCAACAUCAGCCUCAACAUCAACAUCAGCCUCAACAUCAGCCUCAACAUCAGCAUCAGACUCAAAAUCAGCCUCAACAUCAGCCUCAACAUCAACAUCAGCCUCAACAUCAGCCUCAACAUCAGCAUCAGCCUCAAAAUCAGCCUCAACAUCAGCCUCAACAUCAACAUCAGCCUCAACAUCAGCCUCAACAUCAGCCUCAACAUCAACAUCAGCCUCAACAUCAGCCUCAACAUCAGCCUCAACAUCAGCCUCAGCCUCAACAUCAGCCUCAACAUCAGCAUCAGCCUCAACAUCAGCCUCAACAUCAACAUCAGCCUCAACAUCAGCAUCAGCCUCAACAUCAGCAUCAGCCUCAACAUCAGCAUCAGCCUCAACAUCAGCCUCAACAUCAGCCUCAACAUCAGCCUCAACAUCAGCCUCAACAUCAGCAUCAGCCUCAACAUCAGCAUCAGCCUCAACAUCAGCCUCAACAUCAGCAUCAACAUCAUCAACAUCAGCCUCAACAUCAGCCUCAACAUCAGCAUCAACAUCAUCAACAUCAGCCUCAACAUCAGCCUCAGCCUCAACAUCAGCCUCAACAUCAGCCUCAACAUCAGCAUCAGCCUCAACAUCAGCCUCAACAUCAACAUCAGCCUCAACAUCAGCAUCAGCCUCAACAUCAGCAUCAGCCUCAACAUCAGCAUCAGCCUCAACAUCAGCCUCAACAUCAGCCUCAACAUCAGCCUCAACAUCAGCCUCAACAUCAGCAUCAGCCUCAACAUCAGCAUCAGCCUCAACAUCAGCCUCAACAUCAGCAUCAACAUCAUCAACAUCAGCCUCAACAUCAGCCUCAACAUCAACAUCAGCCUCAACAUCAGCCUCAACAUCAACAUCAGCCUCAACAUCAGCAUCAGCCUCAACAUCAGCAUCAACAUCAGCCUCAACAUCAGCAUCAGCCUCAACAUCAGCCUCAACAUCAGCAUCAGCCUCAACAUCAGCAUCAGCCUCAACAUCAGCCUCAACAUCAGCAUCAACAUCAUCAACAUCAGCCUCAACAUCAGACUCAACAUCAACAUCAGCCUCAACAUCAGCCUCAACAUCAACAUCAGCCUCAACAUCAGCAUCAGCCUCAACAUCAGCCUCAACAUCAGCCUCAACAUCAGCCUCAACAUCAACAUCAGCCUCAACAUCAGCCUCAACAUCAACAUCAGCCUCAACAUCAGCCUCAACAUCAGCAUCAGCCUCAACAUCAGCAUCAGCUGUAUAACGGAGGUGUUUAUGGCUCAGGUAACAGGUUGAGGGGGCGGGGCUGUAUAACGGAGGUGUUUAUGGCUCAGGUAACAGGUUGA
This is a long non-coding RNA of Takifugu rubripes (torafugu), 2997 nucleotides long. NCBI's taxonomy places the organism in Eukaryota, Metazoa, Chordata, Actinopteri, Tetraodontiformes, Tetraodontidae. The record is from Ensembl.